RNAcentral lists this long non-coding RNA (986 nucleotides) under Triticum aestivum (bread wheat). RNAcentral's name for it is "long non-coding RNA (TAES_LNC021142)". The record is from RNAcentral. Lineage: Eukaryota; Viridiplantae; Streptophyta; Magnoliopsida; Poales; Poaceae.
UUGGAGCAGUCUAUGAUUCCGAUCAAAGGGAUCUGCCUGCCGGUGCACAUUUGACGAAUGCAUGUUACAUUUUUACAGAAAGUAAGGCCUACAAACUGAACUGAAACAACAUGUUAAGCAUGUCCAUAUUGAAAUUUGAAACUGAUCCCUACAAUGACGAGGAACCGCAACACAGAAGGCUACCUGAAACAAUCAGCAGGUGUUUCGUUGAUCAUUUGCCAUGACAUCCUUCACACCUCAUGCACGAUGGACGGCCCUGGUGACUUCUCCUCAGCGGAUCCCUCCAAAGGUGCUGCCGACGACGUUGUCCCUGCGGCGCCGCUCCUCCCUGAUGUUGUCGCCUGAUGAUUGUCCGAUGUCAAGACUUCUCUACAAUAAGGAGUUAGUGACCAAUAUUAUCAACAUAUUUUUAUCGUCUUGUCAAUAAGCUAGAUUCUUAGUGUUGAACAAUACCAAGUUUGCUGAAUCUUCUUACCAAUUCGGGUCACUAAACAAAUUCAAAAGAUAUGAUGUCCUUGUCUCAAAUGAUAUGACCUAAUUGCGAGAUCUGACCAGAAACAAAUAAAACGAAUUAUCUACAAAUAUAUUCAUAAGGUGGUAACCAGAAAGAAACUUCUUUCUGAGCUCAAACCCUCCAUACUCUCGAUGUUCUGAAUCACAAAUGUCUUUGACUUACCAGGAAACCUUCUGAAUAAUAAUUACCAAUAAAUCUAUGAGCCAUGGUUUUGAGAACAACAUAUGAAAAGAGUUCAAGUACGUAUGCCCCUGAAAAUGUAGUGUGGUUGGUAAUUAUUCUUAUAUUCCAACAUUAAAGAGUUAAGUGUUUUGAUAAAAUGUUGCUUGCUCAUCCUAAGCACAAACACUUUGUUAAAGACAUUUUGUUACUCAAGCAAAGUAAAUGCUUAUGUGUAGAACAGAACAGAAGAUGUAACAUGGAAAUUAUGUUUGGUUUUGGGAAGGGUGACAAACCUGCAUCUCUAUCGGAC